CGCCUCUUGCUUCAAUGAAUAAGAGGUCACGCCUGCCCUGUGACUAUAUGUUUAACGGCCGCGGUAUUUUGACCGUGCAAAGGUAGCGCAAUCACUUGUCCUUUAAAUGUGGACCUGUAUGAAUGGCAUAACGAGGGCUUAGCUGUCUCCUUUCUCAAGUCAAUGAACUUGAUCUCCCCGUGCAGAAGCGGGGAUAAAACCAUAAGACGAGAAGACCCUAUGGAGCUUUAGACAAAAAACAGCCCCUGUCAAUAAACCCUAAAUAAAGGGAAUAAACCUAGUGAACCUGUUUUAAUGUCUUUGGUUGGGGCGACCGCGGGGUAACAAAAAACCCCCAUGUGGAAUGAAAACACCCUUUUUAAACCCAAGAGUCACCACUCUAGGAUACAGAACAUCUGACCAAUAAUGAUCCGGCUAAAGCCGAUUAACGAACCGAGUUACCCUAGGGAUAACAGCGCAAUCCUCUUUUAGAGUCCAUAUCGACAAGAGGGUUUACGACCUCGAUGUUGGAUCAGGACAUCCUAAUGGUGCAGCCGCUAUUAAAGGUUCGUUUGUUCAACGAUUAAAGUCCU
This 572-nucleotide ribosomal RNA is filed under the name Takifugu rubripes (torafugu). Its description in RNAcentral is "partial 16S rRNA". It matches the Rfam family "Bacterial large subunit ribosomal RNA", at positions 1816 to 2597 of the family's 2925-position model. Lineage: Eukaryota; Metazoa; Chordata; Actinopteri; Tetraodontiformes; Tetraodontidae. The record is from RNAcentral.